This 1215-nucleotide ribosomal RNA is filed under the name Salmonella enterica subsp. enterica serovar Kentucky. Its description in RNAcentral is "partial 23S ribosomal RNA". It matches the Rfam family "Bacterial large subunit ribosomal RNA", at positions 1017 to 2215 of the family's 2925-position model. Lineage: Bacteria; Pseudomonadati; Pseudomonadota; Gammaproteobacteria; Enterobacterales; Enterobacteriaceae. The record is from RNAcentral.
GGGAAACAACCCAGACCGCCAGCUAAGGUCCCAAAGUCAUGGUUAAGUGGGAAACGAUGUGGGAAGGCCCAGACAGCCAGGAUGUUGGCUUAGAAGCAGCCAUCAUUUAAAGAAAGCGUAAUAGCUCACUGGUCGAGUCGGCCUGCGCGGAAGAUGUAACGGGGCUAAACCAUGCACCGAAGCUGCGGCAGCGACACUGUGUGUUGUUGGGUAGGGGAGCGUUCUGUAAGCCUGCGAAGGUGUCCCGUGAGGGAUGCUGGAGGUAUCAGAAGUGCGAAUGCUGACAUAAGUAACGAUAAAGCGGGUGAAAAGCCCGCUCGCCGGAAGACCAAGGGUUCCUGUCCAACGUUAAUCGGGGCAGGGUGAGUCGACCCCUAAGGCGAGGCCGAAAGGCGUAGUCGAUGGGAAACGGGUUAAUAUUCCCGUACUUGGUGUUACUGCGAAGGGGGGACGGAGAAGGCUAUGUUGGCCGGGCGACGGUUGUCCCGGUUUAAGCGUGUAGGUGUGUGUUCCAGGUAAAUCCGGUUCACUUUAACACUGAGGCGUGACGACGAGGCACUACGGUGCUGAAGCAACAAAUGCCCUGCUUCCAGGAAAAGCCUCUAAGCAUCAGGUAACAUCAAAUCGUACCCCAAACCGACACAGGUGGUCAGGUAGAGAAUACCAAGGCGCUUGAGAGAACUCGGGUGAAGGAACUAGGCAAAAUGGUGCCGUAACUUCGGGAGAAGGCACGCUGACACGUAGGUGAAGUGAUUUACUCAUGGAGCUGAAGUCAGUCGAAGAUACCAGCUGGCUGCAACUGUUUAUUAAAAACACAGCACUGUGCAAACACGAAAGUGGACGUAUACGGUGUGACGCCUGCCCGGUGCCGGAAGGUUAAUUGAUGGGGUCAGCGCAAGCGAAGCUCCUGAUCGAAGCCCCGGUAAACGGCGGCCGUAACUAUAACGGUCCUAAGGUAGCGAAAUUCCUUGUCGGGUAAGUUCCGACCUGCACGAAUGGCGUAAUGAUGGCCAGGCUGUCUCCACCCGAGACUCAGUGAAAUUGAACUCGCUGUGAAGAUGCAGUGUACCCGCGGCAAGACGGAAAGACCCCGUGAACCUUUACUAUAGCUUGACACUGAACAUUGAGCCUUGAUGUGUAGGAUAGGUGGGAGGCUUUGAAGUGUGGACGCCAGUCUGCAUGGAGCCGACCUUGAAAUACCACCCUUUAAUGUUU